GUUGGCGCCCUUCCCGCUCAUUAUUUGGGAAGAGGACCAGGGCCUCGAUCUAUAAAUAGGGCUAGCCACCCACAAAGUAGAGGGAUCUAGGGCAUCUAGAGGAUCCAGAUCAUCUAGAGAUCAACCAGAGAGAGAGAGAGAAGUGACUGAACUCGCCCAAGAAGUUCAUCGCACCAGCUCAAGAACAGCCCCUCGAGAGGCUGUUCUCCCUUUGUACUGUUCAUCAUCAGCCCUUGAGGCAAUCCACCACACCACACACUGGAGUAGGGUAUUACACCACAAUGGUGGCAUGAACCAGUAUAAAUCUCGUGUCCCUUGUGUGUUCAUCUUUCUUGCUUAGAUCUUUGCGAGACUUAGAGACGUGAGCUGGUAGGGGAGAGAUCUUCAUGCGCACCCCAGUGUUCGAACCUCAAGCGUCUGCCGGAACCCGAAAUCCGACAUUUGGCGUGCCAGGUAGGGGUGCGCCGGAAUCUUUCUUCCGCUAGUCGUGUCUGAUAUUCCGCCGUGACCAUGGCUGACGCUAGCCGAGCCCACGCCGAGCAUCGGGCUGCUCUCACCACCCGCGUCACCCAGACGGAGCCCGUCGGCGCACGCCCCUAUCAUUCUCCAUUGCAUGUCGCCAACGCCGCCACCGGCCCGGCGGGGAACAAGCAGCAGGCCUCGUCCCUGCAUCCUUCGGUGCGGCGUGAUGGCCACACCGCCACCCCAUCGCUGACUCCAGCCGGUUCGUCGUCCCACGCCCGUCUCACCCCCACGGACGCGCACGCCGCGCUGCUCCUGGCGCGUGAGCUCCUGCACUACCGCCCCGUCGACGACCUCUACGAGGAUUGGCUCGCCCGCAUCACCGAACUCGUCAACGCCGCAGGGGGCUCUCCCAUGCCAUCCCUCUCGCUGCCUCUCCCUCCAUCCUACACAGGAGUCGAGGAGUAGGAGCUGCCUCCUCCACCUCCUCCCCAAGAAGGCGCCCUGGCUCCAAGGCACGCAGCCCCAGGUCGAGACCCGCCGCGUCCGGCGCCUGCGCAACAAGAAAGGAGCUGCCAAGAGAUCCCUCGCCCCCAAGAAGGUGCCCGCGUGCUCCCAGCACUGAUGCGCCAUGACUGCAUCCCUACACCGCCACGUCAAGACCCAGCGUUGCUCCAGGCAGCGGCGUGCGGGAAUCCCCAGGAGCAAGCCCCACCUCAGCAGAGAGCUCCGGUGGCCACUGCAGGCUACCGCGCUUUCACCUCCGAGCUGCGUAGCGUCGCGUGGCCCGGCAAGUUCAAGCCAGACCUGCCUCCGCGCUACGACAGCACUGCGGACCCUGCGGAGUUCCUCCAGCUCUACGAGUUGGGCAUCGAGGCCGCCAAUAGGGACGAGAAGGUCAUGGCGAAUUGGUUUCCCAUGGCACUCAAGGACGAUGCCCGCACCUGGCUCCUGAACCUGGCCCCAGGCAUGAUCUCCUCCUGGGACGAGAUGCGCACCCGCUUCAUCGCCAACUUCCAAGGUACUCGCGACCGACCCCCGGCAAUGAGUGACCUGUGCCGCAUCAAGCAACAGCCGGGAGAGACCCUGCAGAAGUACAUCCAAUGCUUCAACAACGCCUGCCUCAAGAUUCCCAAGGUGACUGAGGAGGCCAUCAUUUCAGCCUUCUCUGACGGUGUGCGUGACAUCAAGAUGAAAGAGGAUCUAGCAAUCCAUGAAGACCUGUGCACAUCGUUGGAGCUGUUCAACCUGGCUACCAAGUGCGCCAGGGCUGAGGAAGGGCGCCUCUCCCUCCUCGAGCUCCCAGCUGUGGACCCAGAAGAGAAGAAGCCCAAGGUCAAGGACGUGAAGCGCAAGGGGGCAGAUGUGCUCGUAGCAGAGCCAGACACCAAGCGAGGCAGGGAUCAGCCUAAGUCAUCUAAGGGCAGUCGGUACUGCAUGUACCACGACCUCCACACACACAAUACCAAUGAAUGUCAGGAGCUCAGGGUCGUGCUAUAUGGGCGUAUUGGCCGAUGCACCGACCGCAGCGACCGGGGCUAUGGCCGAGGAGGAGGAAGAGGUGGAGGACGAUGGGAAGACCGUGGCCCUCGCCAAGGAUGGCGUGACCGGCCUCACGAGGACUGCUGGCAGGACCAGCCUCGCGAGGGAGGUUGGAGGGAUCAGCCUCGCGAGAACCGCCCUCAAGGCAACGCAGGCCUCCCUCCUCUGCCACCGCCGCCAAGGAGGAAUGCAGACCAUCACCAGGACGAGGGGGCUGGGGGCUUCCAGGAGCCGCGUGCAAUCACCUGCAUCCUGGGCGGCUCUCAGGCCCCGGCCUCUCAGCGCAUCUUCAAGCAGUUUGCUCGCGAGGUGAAUGCAGUCCUUCCCAAGCUUGAGGCCACGUGCCCACUCAGGUGGUCCGCGUGCGCUAUCACGUUCAGUUCAGUGGAUCCUCUCAAGUGUGCGGCAACGGCCGGGGCCUCCCGAUGCUUUGUUCCCUAGUCAUCAGCAAUGUGCAAGUCACCGGGACCCUCAUCGACGGCGGGGCUGGGCUCAACGUCCUAUCCGUUGAGACGUUCAACAAUAUCCAAGUGUCAUACGAUCAGUUUCAGCCAACCAAGCCUUUCUCAGGAGUCACUGAUGGUUCCACUGUUCCAAUAGGGCAAGUUCAUCUUCCCGUCACCUUUGGGCAGCGCAACAAUUACCACACCAAGCUCAUUGACUUCGACGUCGCCCACAUUCGCCUGCCGUACUGUAACGCCCCGGAUUCGAUGCGCCAGGUGUUUGCCAGUUAUUCGCCGUAGUUGCCAUGUCAUUUUGCUUGCGUGUUGCAUUUCAUCAUGUCAUCAUGUGCAUUGCAUUGCAUACAUGUUCGUCUCAUGCGUCCGAGCAUUUUCCCCGUUGUCCGUUUUGCAAUCCGGCACUCCUAUGCCCUCCAGCGUACCCCUUUUGUCUCUCGUUGUGAGCGGGUGUUAAACUUUCUCAGAAUGGCCCGAGGUUUGCCAGUGGGCCUUGGUAUAGCACCAGUAAACCGCCUAUCAAGUUUCGUGCCAUUUGGAGGUCGUUUGAUACUCCAACGGUUAACCGCGUAGCCCGAACCCCCCCUUUCUCUUUGCAGCCCAACACCCUUCCAAAGUUGCCCAAAACCCAUCUAACUCUCCUCCAUGCUCUCGGUCGUUCGAUCACGAUCAUGUGGGCGAAAACCGCUCCUCAUUUGGACACUCCUAGCUCCCUCUACCUAUAUAUUUGUGCCCCUCCCGGAUUUUCGCGCAGAUGAAACCCUACCCCUUUUCCCCACCACCCCACCGGACAAAAAUCCCCGCCGCCGGACAUGUCCACCGCCGCCGCCACAUCACCCGGACCAAUCACGAUGUGCCACCUCAGCUCCGCCGCCUCCCGCGCCCAACCAGGAGNNNNNNNNNNNNNNNNNNNNNNNNNNNNNNNNNNNNNNNNNNNNNNNNNNNNNNNNNNNNNNNNNNNNNNNNNNNNNNNNNNNNNNNNNNNNNNNNNNNNNNNNNNNNNNNNNNNNNNNNNNNNNNNNNNNNNNNNNNNNNNNNNNNNNNNNNNNNNNNNNNNNNNNNNNNNNNNNNNNNNNNNNNNNNNNNNNNNNNNNNNNNNNNNNNNNNNNNNNNNNNNNNNNNNNNNNNNNNNNNNNNNNNNNNNNNNNNNNNNNNNNNNNNNNNNNNNNNNNNNNNNNNNNNNNNNNNNNNNNNNNNNNNNNNNNNNNNNNNNNNNNNNNNNNNNNNNNCCGCUCCUCCGUCGGUGCCGCGCGCUGCCGCCCGCCAUCACCGCUCCCCGCCGCCCGCAAGCCCCGCCGGCGCCCGUCCGAGGUGCCCAUCGCUGGAUCCGGCCAUCUUCUUCCACUCCGGCGUCAUCCCCCUCCAAGUCCGGCGAGAUCCCGGCGGUCCUCGAAAUCCGCACCAACCGGGACCAAAUCCGCAGGGUGCACCAACCAAAUGCCCACGCCUGUCCCCGGAUCUCUCCGUCCCGGGACCUUCUCAUCCAGUUUUCGCGGGGUAAAAAUCGACCAAGUCCCUGUAUUUUGACAUUAUCAUGCCAUGUUCAUCGCAUCAUAUCUUUGCAUCCGUAGCUCUGUUUUGUGCGUGUAAUAUGUCAAAUUGUUCGUCUCAACGAGUACAUCAUUUCAUUCCAUUGCAUCAUAUUCAUUUGAGCUCAUCUAGAUGCCCGAGUCAUCGUUGCAAGAGUGCUUCAUAAUGUUAUCUGCUGUCUGUUAUCAAAACGAGCUCUUUUGUCAUUUUUGCCAUGAUUGAUGUGUGCAUCCUAUGAGGUUGAUGUCUACAUGUGUUUUGAACUAUGCCAUUCCAUCUUUACAGGGGUGCUUACCAUUUAUUUUUGUGAUCAAUGUGGUGACUAGCACAAGCAUGCAAACUAGGCAUCGUGAUGUUGCUGAUUUUAGUCUCUGUUCUGCUAUUAUUUUGAUGCCAUGUAAACUUGAUGCUACAGAGAGAUCCAUGCAUAUUUUGAGAUACUUCAGUAAGGGUGUUUUGAACAUAUGGUUAUUGUCUAUCCAUUCAUGCCCAUGUUUGCAAUUAUGGAGUAGUCUAGCAUGCCGUUUUCGUGCUCUACUUUUGCUUCAAAAUGUUUCCUGGCAGAUUGUUUACAUGUUAUUCAAUUUUGCCAAGGUUGUUGUAGUUGAUCCUUGCAUGCUAUGGACUUGUUCUUGCCUUUGUUUGUUACAUAAACAUGUCUUCUUGCUGAUGCUAUGCUUAUCUUGUCAUGCAAUGACUUGUGGUGAGUGAAUCGAGCUUGUUAAGUAGGGUACUUGUUGUUGCUGUUUUGCUAGGCUGAAUCUGUUAUUUCGUGAUGCUAUGUAAACCUGCUGUUACAAAUCAUUCUAUGCACAAUCUGGAGAUGUCCACUAAAUAUGUUUUGUUCUACAUGUUAUGCUCUAUCCAUCCAUGCCCCUGGUUGCAUUUACAGUUUGUUUUAACUUGUUCAUAUCUUGCUCCAAAGUUGCUUGAUAAUGUUGCUGACAGCCUGUUAUCAUUAAGUUCAGUUGUUGCCGUGAUUGUUGCUAGUGUUCCAUGCACCCUAUGAACUUGCUAUUGCCAUGCUUAGCUUCACAAACAUGCCUUCUUACUGUUGGGUGCCUUGCCAUGCCAUGUAUUGCUCUGUGGUGAGUGGUACAAGCUCACCAACAUGCCUUCAUAAUUCUGUUCCUGCCAUGUUUGAAUCUGUAUUAUAACUUGCCAUGUUUACAUGGGUGCCAUCAUAUUUUUUGUUCCUUUUUGGCUUAUGGUCAGUAAAGGGCAUUUGAUCUAUGCAUUUAGUAGUAUCAUGCCAUGCCUUUGUUUUCCAUUAUAAGUUCCUGUAACAUGUUGUUUGAUAGCUCUAAACAUUGCAUCCUGAUGUUAUUCUCUGCAAAGUCUGAAAUUGUUAUUACUUGCAAUCUUGCCAUGUGUGUUUGAGCAUGUUCUAGUGAUUUCUGGAGAUAGCUCAGUGUUCAUGUUUUGUAAUGCUUUACCUGUACAUCAUGCCCAUGCCUUUUGUUUACUUGUUGAGGUCCUGUAGCAUGUUGUUUUGAUGCUUGAAAUAUGCCUAGUUGCUGUUUUGCACAGCUUGUCCUUUAAACUUGUAUAGAGUGUGUGUGUUGCACCGUUGCUCCGUUUUGAGUGUGCCCUAUAUGAAACUUGCUUGAUAUUGCAUGUAGUUUCAUAUUAUCAUGUUGCAUCCUUGUUUUGAGGUGUUUGCUUGAUGUUUGGGUGCAUUUUGCGUCAAUGCCAUGUUUAACUUGUUUUGCUCAUAUCUUCUAGGCCGUAGCUCCGAAAUGAACUUUAUAUGUAACUUGACUAGAAUCUCGUGUAGAUCAUCUUUGUGCAUCUUAACUUGCUGUUUAACAACUUCAACUUAAUGUUUGUUCAGAUCUGGACCAACUUCGAAAUUUGCAUAUGAGGACUUACCGGAAUUGUUAUAUGUUGUUCCCGACCUCAUUUAAACUUGCCAUGAUGUGUUGCUCUUGUUUGCAUCAUCUCUUGCCAUGAGUAGCUUCAUGUAGCCUUGUCAUGCAUCAUGCUUGUUGUGCAUCAUGCCUUGUUCAUGAGUGGUUUGCUUCUUUUCGGUAGUUCCUAUUUCGUUGUGAUCGUGAGGAUUCGUUCGUCUACGCUUGGUUCGUCUUCGUGGCUUCAUCUUCUUCAUGGACUCGUUCUUCUUCCUUGCGGGAUUUCAGGCAAGAUGACCGCUACCCUGGAUCUCACUACUAUCUUUGCUAUGCUAGUUGCUUCGUUCUAUCGCUAUGCUGCGUUACCUAUCUUUUGCUCAUCAAGCCUCCCAAAUUGCCAUGAACCUCUAACCUUUGACACCUUUCCUAUGCAAACCGUUGUUUGGCUAUGUUACCGCUUUGCUCAGCCCUCUUAUAGCGUUGCUAGUUGCAGGUGAAGUUGAAGAUUGCUCCAUGGUGGACAGGAUUUUGGUUGGGAUAUCACAAUAUCUCUUAUAUUAUUAAUGCAUCUAUAUACUUGGUAAAGGGUGGAAGACUCGUCCUUUUGCCUGGUGUUUUGUUCCACUCUUGCCGCCCUAGUUUCCGUCAUACCGGUGUUAUGUUCCCGGAUUUUGCAUUCCUUACGCGGUCGGGUGAUUUAUGGGACCCCCUUGACAGUUCGCUUUGAAUAAAACUCCUCCAGCAAGGCCCAACCUUGGUUUUACCAUUUGCCUCACCACCACCUACUUUUCCCUUGGGAGUCGCUCUCUCGAGGGUCAUCUUUAUUAUAGCCCCCCCCGGGCCAAUGCUUGUCUAAGUGUUGGUCCAAACUAGAGCACCGUGCGGGGCCAUCCCUUGGCAACUUGGGUUACGUCGGUUCCUGUAUGCUUCGCUUAUCCGGUGUUUCCCUGAGAACGAGAUAUGUGCAGCUCCUAUCGGGAUUGUCGGUGCAUUGGGCGGCUUUGCUGGUCUUGUUUUACCAUUGUCGAAAUGUCUUGUAAACCGGGAUUCUGAGUCUGAUCGGGUCUUCCUGGGAGAAGGUAUAUCCUUCGUUGAUCGCGAGAGCUUAUCAUGAGCUAAGUUGGGACACCCCUGCAGGGUAUAAUCUUUCGAAAGCCAUGCCUGCGGUUAUAGGCAGAUGGGAAUUUGUUAAUGUCCGGUUGUAGAUAACUUGACACCAGAUACAAAUUAAAACGCAUCAACCGUGUGUGUAGCCGUGAUGGUCUCUUUUCGGCGGAGUCCAGGAAGUGAACACGGUUUCUGGGUUAUGUUUGACGUAAGUAGGAGUUCAGGAUCACUUCUUGAUCAUUACUAGUUGACGACCGCUUCUUUUGCUCUCUUCUCGCUCUCAUUUGCGUAUGUUUAACCACCAUAUAUGCUUAGUCGCUGCUGCAGCCUCACCACUUUACCCCUUCCUUUCCCAUUAAGCUUUGCUAGUCUUGAUACCCAUGGUAAUGGGAUUGCUGAGUCCUCGUGGCUCACAGAUUACUACAACAACAGUUGCAGGUACAGGUUAUGCGGUGAUCAUGACGCGAGAGCGAUGUUUGAUUGCGUUGAUUUCUUCUUCUGCUUCUUCGAUUAGGGGAUAGGUUCCAGGUCGGCAGCCUGGGCUGGCAGGGUGGAUGUCGUUUGAGUUUCUGUUUGUGUUUCAUCCGUAGUCGGAUGAUGCUCUUAUGUAUUGUGAUGUUGUAUUCAUGUGGCAUUGUAUGCCUCUUGUAUGUAUUCCCAUCUAUUAUGUAAUGUUGAUGUAAUGAUAUCCACCUUGCAAAAGCGUUUCAAUAUGCGGGUCUAUCCUUGCUGGGACCUUCGAGUUCCUUUUGGAUAGGGUCGCAUAUUGGGCGUGAUACGUACAAUGCCAUCCUUGGGUACCCAGCUCUGGCCAAGUUCAUGGCAGUGACUCACCAUGGCUACAAUGUCCUCAAGACACCAGGAAGCGGUGGAAUCAUCAUAGUGCCUUGCGAGGAAAGGGAUGCAGUGUGUUCUCUUGAGCGUGCCUUCCAGGCUGCGGCAAUCAAAGACCCAGAUCACAGGAGCGGGAGGCUCCCCGAGGCAGUUCCUAAGAAGAAGAAGGCUUCAUCUGGCCCAAAAAAUCACAAGGCAGGCCCCUCUGGAGGCGUUGCGUCAGGAUCCGUGCCUGUCCAAGGGGCGCCACCCUCUGUCGCAUAGGAAGGCGCGCCCGGUGCCCUCCUUGGGCAGGGCUCGGGGGCUCUCUCCUGGAGGGCCACCGACCUCGCUAAGGUCACGAGGGAGGCGCUCGGGCACCACUUGGAGGCGUGCUUCAAGGCACGUUUCCCUCAGGAAGGUAUAAGGCAAGGAAGGCAAAACCCCCAGGAGUUCAUUGUGAGGAACAUUCAGGAGCUACAGGAGUCAAGAGUCAUGCGCGGCAGUCACCGCCUACCCGCUAUAGCCCCACAUCCCGGCGAGGAUGGUGGGCUGCGCGUCUGCAUCGACAUACCGGGGCUCAACCGAGCCGCGUCUCAGGAGCGCUUAUGGCCUUCACGCGUGGGGUGUUGUGAGGGUCCACCUCACAGCUAUGUUCGCAUGCCCUUUGGCCUGCCGAACGCGGCUGCUGCCCACCAGCGCCUGAUGAGGAUCAUCCUGGAAGCUCAGGUGGCCAGGCACCACGCGUUCCUGGAGGAGAUGGAGAUGGACCUUCAGGAGCCACCCAGACCCUCAGAGCCUCCCGAGGCUCAGGGCUCCGAGGGCUUGUGAGGGUUGGCUGCUUCAUCGCGCGUCGAUAGCUACUCCGACACUCGCUCUGCAAUGAUAUCAGGUGACAUUUUUCAAGUUUUCUCUUUAGCUGGGAGCGCCCGCAGGGCCGCAUCAUUCCCAGGUCGUGUGGGUCCGUCCCUGCGGCAUGUAUCCGUUUUGCUUAUGUUUUUCAUCUGCUUUGUUUGGGGCGCCCCUCGGGCUGCAUUAUCCCCAAGCUGCUCGGGCCUGACCCAGUGGCGCUUGCUUUUUCGGCAUCUACCUAAAUCGAUUCGCUCCUCCGAGCCUAACCUGGUCCUCUUGAUUAUCAUCUGCUGCUUAUCACGGACCUCUCCGCUCACAUGCAAAGCGCUUGCACGUUAAAAGGGGGCACCUAAGCAUCACGACUCAUGGUCUCUUACUGGCUCUCCAGCCCUCACCCCCUGGCCUUGACCCACGGCAUCGCGACCUGUCAUACCAGUGGCGGCUGAGCUUGCUCAAGGGUCGGGACCUGAGGACGUAGAGCAUUUGCAUUCUAACCACCCUACAGGAACACUCCAUUGAUAAAGGCCCAGAGCCAGGCGCAACCCGCCUCGUGGUAGGACCUCGUGAGUCCCGCGCUGGCUCACGGGUGCCCAGAUACACCUCUCCUAGCCCUACCGUGCCAGCCACGUGUCAGGGCGGGGCUGUACACGCCCCGGGGGCUCCUCCCGGAGGGGAGCCCCCUCCCACGUACCAGUGGAAGCACCAUGCUCUGCGCUGGCUGGCGACACUGCCGAGGAGCGGCUAUGCCCGUACACAAACGGAAGCGCUAUGCUCCGCGCUGGUGAUAAACAACUGAGGGCGGCCCACGGCUGUAUCAACCUCAGGGAGCCCAGAGCUCAGUGUCUGGCACAACCGCAACGCCUCCCCUCGGGAGUGCCGCGCGAGGGGGCUGGACACGGGGGUUGCGCCCGGGCUACGCCCGAACGCACGCCACCGAGCCAAGUCCCUCAGACCUGGUCGUCACGCGCCUCUCCCCGAGCAGAGCCAAGGUACGAAAUCUAGUUCGCGCAUCAAGGGGGACUCCUAAGCAUCGCGACUCAGGAGCCUAACUGGUCAUGUAGCCCUUCACUACUUAGUCCCGUCCUGGUUUCUGGUCGGGGCUAACGGCGGCUGAGAUAUGUGCGGGGCCGGGCCCUGACGACGUAGAACGACAAAUCCACUCCUACGCCUCCCUUCCCUACUUGUUGUCUGCGCGUCAAGGGGGAAUCCUGAGCAUCGCAACUCAGGAGCCUAACUUGCCACGUAGCCCCUCACUCCUUAGUCCCGUCAUGGUUUCCGGUCGGGGCUAACAGCGGCUGAGGUAUGCGCGGGGCCGGGCCCUGCCGACGUAGAACACAGGAAAAUAGGAGGGAAAAUGCAAAUCCUAAGGAAUUAAAAAGCAAAUAUUACAAGCCAUAAAGUGUUUUCACAACACCAAACGCAAAUUUAAACGCCUCCACGAGGCAUGGUGCAUGUUGCAGGAAUUAAAACAGGACAAAGGACGCAAGGGGAUCACUUUCCAGUGGGCUGCCGCCUGCGGUGGAGCCACGCUGGGCGGCUCUGCCUCCUGAAGCCGCGGAACCAGUGGAGCCGCGUCUAGGCAAGAUGCUGAAGGCACGGAACUUCCCAAACCUCGGCUUGGCCCUUCACAGCCUUAGCAGCGGCGGCGGCAAGGUCGCUGCUCACGGGUUCCAUCAGGCUGUCGAGGUCGACCUUGGGGUCGUGAAGGUAGAUGUGGCUGAGGACGCGCGUCAACGCUGCAAACGACAGGGCACGACCGUCCGCGGUAUCUUCAAGCGCACGGACCAGGAAGGGAAGCAGCUCGGCAGGGCCGUCCUCUUCGCCAGCCAACGGGUCCUCUAAGCCGCUCUCAUAGAGCGUCUUCAGCGCAACGCGAGCCUUCUCCUCCAGCUCAGCGAUGGCCACCCAGUCCUUGGCCAGGACCUUCGCGUUGCGGUCUAGCUCGGCCCUCUCCACCUUCAGCGCCUGCUCCAGCGUCUCCAGCCGGCCACGACAGUCAACAAGCUCGGCGUCCCGGUCUUUGAUGGCAGCCUCCCGAACCUUCAUCCCCUCCUCCUUCUCCUGGCGGAUGCGGACCUCCUUCGCGAGCUCCUCGCACAGGUCUUGCAGCUCAGACUCCAAUGCCUUGCAGCGGCCCUGGGCAUCCGCAGCUUCGCCUUGGGCAGCAUCACGAGCAGCCUUAGCCUAGCGGGCGGCUUGCUUCUCCUUGUCGGAGGCGGAUGCAACCUGCCUCUGCGCCGCUCGGACAAAGGCAACAGAGCGGGCCCAGCCGGAGGCUAACUCCAGGCGCCCGACCAGCAGGCGGGGGUCCGCGCUCUGGAGAUCCUCCCGAAGCCGACGCAGUUCGUUGGUGGCCUGGUCCAAGACAGCGGAGGGAUCAGAAGAGAUGGGAGCUGGUGGAGCAGGCGGAGAGGACGGCAGCAUGAUCACGGCUUGGGAGGAAGGAGCCUCCCGCGCCUUGGGCAUCUCAGCAGCACCACCAAGCCUAGGCCCCUCCAAGGUCAGCGGGGCCACGGGGGCUGACUCCUCGCCAGAGUGCCCCUGCUGGGCUCGCGAGGACGACCGGGCAGGGGAAGCGUGGGCCUCGGUGCCUCCGUUCCCCGCAGAAGAAGGUGCUGCCUCGGCAGGCGAACUCGCCUCAAGCAGGUUCUAGAAGCCCCCCUCAACCUCUUCGCCUUAGGUGCGGGCCUGGUCAAGGAGUGCAGGCGUCAAGUCUCGGAGACAGAAACAAAGCAGAGCACGGAUCGAGUACUUAAGGGUCAUCGCUCGCGGGUUCAAGCAGCCUCCGGCCAAACUUGAAGCCCAAGAGGCUGCAACUGGGGUCGGCCUUGGGAGGUAUGGAAGCAGAGGACGUGUCGGGAAGGCCGGAGCUGGCCUCAGACCGCCCCGAAGCCAGAGCGGAUCCUGGGGCCACCAGCCCCGAUCUGUCUUUCCUCGGGACUGGGGGAGAAUCCACUCCUCCUCGCCCGCCGCUGGCCUCGUCGUCGUCCGACAUGGAGUGGAGGGUGCGAGACCUGCGCCAGGGGAAGGACUCCUCCGACUCCUCGCCAGUCGCCUCGGAGUCGAACUCCUCCUCCUCUUCUCCCUCCUCACUCCCGCUGGAGUCGCUGGAGGACACAUUCACCGUCAACAACGCCGUCAGAUCCCCGGGAGCCAUCGCGGGCACUAGCCCCUCACCGUUGAAGGUGGGCAUGGCGUCCACCGCCUGCUCCCAGUCUUCACGAAGAAACAGGGGGAAAGGAGCACCGUCCGGCCUCGCCACGUCUCCCCCGACUAAGGAGUGGAGGGCAGCGACCAGAUCUUCAUCGGCCAGGGCUGCGGAGCUCAAGCGAAUGGCAGCAUCUGCUUCCCCGAGCCUCCACAGUGGGAGCGAGUGCUCCCGGAGUGGAGCCACCUGGUGGUCCAGAAACUCCCUCAGGAGUGUGGCCCCGGUCAGCUUCGCUGACCCCAGGUUGCCUGGCCUCAGGUUCGCGUCCAUCCUCUCCAGCACCACCCUCGCGCGGGGGUCGACGAGCUCUGCGCGAGACCACACAUCAACGGCCUUGGGCUGCCCCGUGGGCAACACAAGUCAGGGGUGGAUGCGCCCGGCGUCCACCAUGACCCACCUACUCCGGAAGCCUUCAGUCCUCUUCCCGGGCUUCGAGAUGGCGUUGGAGCCAGAGUAUCCGACAAAGCUCGCGCAUGCGGAGAUGGGGCCACGAGAAACCCGGAGGUAAAAGUAAUGGCGGAGCAAGGCCACUGAGGGCUUUAUCCCAACAUGAGCCUCGCAAUAGUAGGCAAAGAUCGCCAGAAGAAGAACCGAGUUGGGGUGGAGGUGCAGAGCUUGCAAGUUGUACAGGCGAAGAACAGUAAGGAAGAACUCGGAAAAAGGAGGCACCAGACCGGCAACGAUGGCACUCAUGAAGAGCGGGUAGAAGGUGCUCACCUUGCCUUCAGGCUGGCCGGAGUCGGCCUUGAGCACAGUCGCUCCAGCGUUGCCCUGCACCACCGUCCUCGGGCGCAGGAGGUCGAGAUUCCUCUCCGACACGUUCGGGGGAUCCAAAGCUGGGGAGUACCAGGCCUCAGUCGGAGUCUUGCGGGGCGCCAUAGAUCGCCGGGCGGAAGGAUUGAGGCAGAUCUAGAAGAUUUGGGAAGCGGGAAGGAGAAGGGCGAGAAAGGGGGUCUGGAGUAAGGGAGGCGAGAAAAAAGCAGGUCAGUCUGGCCUGGGCACCCCUUUUUGUCAAGUCAUGCGGUUGCAGAGGCAUCGUGGGGAAGCGGAGAUGCCAACGUCCAAUCGACCGCCACGCGGCGCCCAAGGCCGCAGGCUGUUGGGGCCCGCAGCGCUUCGCACUUGCCCCUUCGCUUAUCUGCUAAGCCAAGUCCGGGCGCACCUUGGGCCUGGGGGCUACUGUCGGUGUUUUGGGAACGGGGGUCCCCAAACUUGCCUACCUGUGGCCUGCGGCGUGGCUCAAGUGGGGGCCCAAUGCAGCCCAGCUUCAUCAGCUCAAGCUCAAGACCCUCGCGAGGGGCCAAGCCUCGCGGGGCGGACGACAGGGAGCUUCCUCAGGAGCAGCCUCCUCAGGCAGGCUCGCGAGGAGGCGGAGAGAUCAAGGCAGGGAACCACCCGAGGGGCCCGUGACGCAAGCCAUGAUGAUCGAGGACCAGGCGGGCACCAGGCGGGCGUCGGCCUGUGCAGUGUCCUUGUUUCCCUUUCGGUGCAAAGGGGGCAAGCACAGGCCAAGGCAUCAGGCAAAGGUUACCAUUUCGGUGCAACGAGACCAAGACCAACAGAAUGGCAGGAUGGAGGUCAUCGUGGAGCCCAGGGCGGCGUCACCGUCAGAGCCUUUGGCAGCCGAAGACCAACUUUAGUCAGGAUAAGUGUACCAGAUGUUCCCCUUCAAAAUGGCCAAUUGUUGGCGCCCUUCCCGCUCAUUAUUUGGGAAGAGGACCAGGGCCUCGCUCUAUAAAUAGGGCUAGCCACCCACAAAGUAGAGGGGUCCGGGGCAUCUAGAGGAUCCAGAUCAUCUAGAGAUCAACUAGAGAGAGAGAGAGAGAGAGAGAGAGAGAAGCAACUGAACUCGCUCAAGCAGUUCAUCGCACCAGCUCAAGAACAGCCCCUCGCGAGGCUGUUCUCCCUUUGUAUUGUUCAUCAUCAGCCCCUGAGGCAAUCCACCACACCACACACUGGAGUAGGGUUUUACACCACAAUGGUGGCCUGAACCAGUAUAAAUCUCGUGUCCCUUGUGUGUUCAUCUUUCUUGCUUAGAUCUUUGCGAGACUUAGAGACGUGAGCUGGUAGGGGACAGAUCUUCGUGCGCACCCUAGUGCUCGAACCUCAAGGGUCUGCCGGAACCCAAAAUCCGACAGUGUCAUAUGCAAUAUUCCUUUUGCCUUAGGAUAUAUGUUGUCGAGCUCAAGGCGAGUACUUGUCAUCCUUGUGGUACCUCAACCUAUCUUCUUGAAACUGUGAGAUAAAUUCUUGAACCGGGUUAACUCUUUAACCAAGUUGCAUGGCCAGGCUUUCCGAAUCUGAUCACUCGAGAGGACCGAGAGAAUAUCUCUUCGUAUUAGACGGGCAAUCCCAUCCUGGUCAACCAUGUCUUGCGGCAUAUCUCACGACUCACCCAAAAGCUACCUUUAUAACUACCCAGUUAUAGAGUAGCGUUUGAUAGACCCAAUGUGAGUCGAUCCUCAUCCCAAGAACAUGCGAGGACCUCAAGUCUAAGACAUGGCGUAUACAUCGUACUUGAGACUAACAGAUGACAAUGUCUCGUUGAGUCUCAAAGUGGGUCUGUUCGACUCGUUGAUCUCCAUCCCCGAGUCCAUACUAUCGUUUUAGCAUCUAUAUGCCCAUCUCUUGUGGAACAUAGUCAUCAACCAAAGAGUAUAUAUAAUAGUGAAAGGGUAUGUGUCCGCAUAACCUUAUCAACUAGGGACCAUUAGAAACAUCAUCAUACAAUAUAUAGUUUCACAUACAAUGCACAUACUUAUUGAUACAUAUCAUUGAUGAUGUUCAAGGACAAUAUAAUGACUCAUGCAUGAACAAGUAGGGAAAUAUUGUAACCAUAUGAUUGCCUCUAGGGCAUAUCUCCAACAUAACAAACAAGGAAUUUUCUCCAUAAUCAAUUCGGAUAAGUAUGUCACGCUUGCUAAUAAGUCCGUGCAAAUGCCUGGUGCGGCGACGUGCCGGCACAACCGUGACUACUUCCUUGGUCAUAACCAAUAGUUCCUUCAUAAUGUGAAUCAGGACUUUAUCAUGACAUUUUUUACCCCGUGCCCAUGGUCACCACAAGUGAAACAGAUAUUCUUCUACUUGCGAUAUCCAUGCAUCGCCCUAAUUCUCUCAGACAUCUUGCGAAGAUCAUUAGAAACUGCUGGAGCCUUGACCUUAUCUGCAUAUCCAAUAUGUUUGGAGGAAGAGUGACGCUAAUGCUUGAGAGGCGCCUGAAGCUUGUAGCUUCCUGCAAAAGAGCCAAAUAACUAGCAGUGUCGACAUCUUCUGGAUGAUGCAAAACAACUACGGUAUGAAUUUCUGCAUGCAAUCCAGCAAUGUAACGCUCGAUGAACAACACCUCAGGAGUGUUAGGAUCCACCAACAAAAUUUGAUGGUGAAGGGUAUAAAAUUUACUGCGAUACUCAUCGUGGUUGCAACAUCCUUGCGUCACUACCUCCUCUCGUCACCGUCGUCGGCUUGCACCGCCGUCCUCCCCAGCAAACAAAUUAUCAACAACAAUAAAACUCCAUUGGUUUGCCGACAGCAACAAAAAAUGUGUCGAUUCCAGCAAAGCUUAUCUCCGAAUCCAUCAUAAUUACAUCACCGCCGCCGGUCACAGCAAAACUCUCAACUAUCACCACAGCAAACAAUCUUGCGGGUCCAGCAAAAAUGAUCUCAAUGUUGACCGGUCCCAGCACCAGCCAAUAGUGAUUGUAGCUCCCCCUAGCUUGGUUCCAGCAAAAAAGAUCUCUGGUUGCAGCACCGGAGCUCCACUACCUUCGCAGCCGGCAACUGCUGGUUGCAGCAAGCAUGGCCUCUAGUUCCAGCAUUUUCAGACUCCGGUUCCAGCAAAAAAACUUCCAGUUGCAGCACUGGAGCUCUCCCGUCUCCAUAGCCGGCAACUGCUGCUUGCAGCAACCAUGGCCGAUGGUUCCAGUAUCGCUGGACCCCUGGGUCACAGCUCGCCAUCGAUGUGCAUUGCUGGAUACGUCCCCAGCAACCGCCAGUUGCAGUCGACCUCCUCUAGCAGCUCCUGCGGCGGUCUGUCCUUGCCGUUGCAUCACUACCAUGGUUCCUCCUGCGGUGGGCUUGAAAGAGUGGCGAGUGGUGUUCCCUUGCGGACGCGAGCUCGUGAGAAGGAAGGAUGAGGAGAGGCACUCGCCUACCACAAUGGGGGCAGAGGUUGGGGCCGAGCAGAGCAGUAAAUCGAUGGUGCCAUGAAAGUUGCGGUGGCUAGUGCACGAUGGGGAGAAAAAUAAGAGAGGAAAGGAUACAAUGUGAAGAGAUAAGGUGUUCCAGGUGCCCGAGUGGUGUGACCGGCCGAAACUCAGCCGGUCGACCAGGCGCAAUCAUUCCCAUUAAUAAACUACCCCGCCCUAAGUAGGCUAAUAUCAUCUCUAAUCAUCUCAUGACUAUAUAUAUCCAACACAUUGAUUAACAAAUACUAUGUAUAUCAUCUCAUGUGUUAAUUACGUUCAUUGAACAUAUGUUGCAAAGAAAAAAAUAAUGGUUACGAGAUUUUCCUCUCCUCCCUAACCUUAGGCGGUAAGGGCAAACUCUCACCUCCAGAUUUCCCCGACGAGCCCGUGGAUUCGCUUCCCCUUCGCCUACCGCUUUGGCGACCGCUAGAGGGGAGGGGAUCCCGGUGCCUUCGCUUUGGUUAGUAGUUUAGGUUAUGAUUUUUUUUCCUCACAAGUGCGGCCCUCGGGCGGAUGGUGGCUUUUCUUCUUCGAACUUGUCUUUCGGGCUCCGAUCCUCCUCGAAUUUGUCCGUCUAGACGUAGUCGACGAAGCUUCAGCAUAGAUUCCUGCCGUCUACUUGGGACAAUGGGGUUAGAGUUUCUCGUCAUGUGGCGAGAUUUGGAGUCAAUUGCAAAAAACUACCACAUUUGCGGCUAGAUUUGCAGAUAACCACCAAGUCACUAAUCCGCUGCAAAAAACACCACAUUAGCAGUAAACUUGUUGCAAAAAGCACUGAUAGCUCACUUUGCUUCAUUUAAUCGUGUUUCCGACAAGUGGUGCCCAGCUGACUUGGCAAAAAUCGCCACGUGUGCGCGUUGACUGAGUCUUCUUCCAUCUCCUAUCUUCCCCUUCUAUCACACAUUUUAUCGAACAUGUUGCUGGCAUCUCCCGUCAUCGCCAUGGUCGUCGCAGCAGGCCCUAAUGCGCUGCCCCGGCAAGCUGUGUGCUUCUGGUACACCGCGGCCGCCGGAGAGAUGCCCGUGGAGAUCACCCUGGAGGAGGACACCAAGCUCGGCUUCGCCAUCAGCCGCACCGAGGAGGAGCACCAGGCCCAGGGCGUGCACGUCCCCACUGCAUACCUGCUGCUCCGCGGCCGGCAAGCUUAUUGAGGGCGGGGAGGUGCUGCUCCUCCUCCUCGUCGUUAAGCAGAAGAAUGGUCACUGGGAGGACGUCGCCGUGCAUUGUCUUCGCUGGCGCUCAUGGCAGCGGCGGCGUCCCAUUGCCUCCUUGAGCGAGGCGGUCCUCCCCCAGCACGAAUCGCACGACGGCGCGCCGCCCGGCCUGCCGUCACCCGGCGCGAGGCGGUCGAGCGUCGGCGAGUCCAACCUGUCCGCAUCCACGCCAGCCAGCGAGAGGUCCAUCGCCGCGAGAACGAGGGUCACGGGAUGCUGCACGCCGAGGCGGAGCUGUGCGACGAGGUCCUUGUUCCCGCUAAAAUCGCGGCCGACUGCAGCAACGGGCGGGGGACCCCUGAUGCCUCCCUUCGCGAGCUACGGCAGGAGCUCGGGAUUAGCUCCAUGGGCGGUGAGGGGCGGAGGGGAGCUCGCCGGGGCGGCCUAUUGGGGCUAGCCGCGACGGCCGCCAUGGCGCUGGCGGGAUAUGCCCUCGACAUGUUUGACAAAAUGUGUGAUAAAAGGGGAAGAGAGGAGAAGGAAGAAGACUCAGUCAACCGCACACGUGGCGAUUUUUUCCCACGUCAGCUCCCGACGAGCGGGCCCCACUUGUCGGAAAUGCGAUUAAAUGAAGCAAAGUGAGCAAUCAGUGCUUUUUGCAACAAGUUUACUGCUAAUGUGGUGUUUUUUGCAACGAAUUAGCGACUUGGUGGUUUUCUGCAAAUCUAGCCGCAAAUGUGGUAGUUUUCUGCAAUUGACUCCGAGAUUUGAUGUCGGGUACUUCAGAUCCGGAAACGCUCCUUCGUGAGCGAGCGUCGCAAGACCCCCUCCUUCAGAUCUAUGCAAGGAUUCAAUGCCAACACCGCGGCUCCAGGGUGCUCGUCCUAAGGGGUACGUGCACGAAGACUUCACGAUUGUCAUCAAUAAAAUCGAGUCGGCUCCGGUAGGGGAGCGCCGCGUCGGUGGCUCGUGCUGACGACAGUAGUGGUGGUACAGUGGUCUCGGAAUCUUUGUCAUCAAUAAAAUCGAUCCGGCUCCAGUAGGGGAGCGUCGCGUCGGCGGCUCGUGUUGGCGGCAGUAGUGGUGGUACGGUGGUCUCGGAAUCUUGAUACAAUUUUUAUUAAGUUUCAGAUGCUUUUACCGAAUUUUUAUAAUAGAUCUACUCCUUUGCAGAAAGUUAUUUACCUAGAUUGAAUAAACACCAG
Molecule: long non-coding RNA, 18365 nt
Filed under: Triticum aestivum (bread wheat)
Lineage: Eukaryota; Viridiplantae; Streptophyta; Magnoliopsida; Poales; Poaceae
Description: long non-coding RNA (TAES_LNC012102)
Source: RNAcentral